UACAGAGCGAAGAAAAAGAGAAAAGCAAGUGUUCCUUUGCAGAGAGUCAGUGUUUGGUGUGAAUUGACAGGGAAUUUGUAAUAUACACUUUGGAGCUUGUAUUUGAACGAGAGUAGGGUACACGGCAGCUACCGUUAUGAGCAAAAUGAAGUGAUGUCGAUUCGGCAUAAUCAGGGUGGUACCGCGGACAAUUCGCCCCUGUU
RNAcentral lists this non-coding RNA (203 nucleotides) under Filifactor alocis. Its description in RNAcentral is "T-box sequence". It matches the Rfam family "T-box leader". Rfam says of the family: Uncharged tRNA acts as the effector for transcription antitermination of genes in the T-box leader family. The record is from RNAcentral. Lineage: Bacteria; Bacillati; Bacillota; Clostridia; Peptostreptococcales; Filifactoraceae.